Long non-coding RNA from Varroa destructor (honeybee mite), 1004 nucleotides. NCBI's taxonomy places the organism in Eukaryota, Metazoa, Arthropoda, Arachnida, Mesostigmata, Varroidae. The record is from RefSeq and is a predicted model, not a curated record.
CGUAGUUGUGUCCGCGCCUAAAAAUACUUCCCUUUCUCAACUUCCCUCGCUUACGUUCCCCUUGUUCGAUCUACAUCGUAUGUUAGCGUAGUGCAACAGUGUUACGUUCUUAAUGCGAAAACUAGAAGGGACAUCCCACGGAUGGAUGUUCCAGGCUAAAAGGAUACAUUUUCGACACCAUCUGUACUGUGCGUUUCGUCAAGGCCAAAUCGUUUGCCUUGCCCAAAAAGACAUUUGCCUUGUGUACCGUAAUAAAGCUAUUGGUCAAAGAAGUGCUCAAGAGUGGAUUGCCAAGUUCGACAAAAUUUCCGGUACCUAGCUCAUGGCCCUUGCUCUGGCCGACCGUCUGAGUUUGAUGAUGCCACAUAAGGUAUCUGACAAACAACCCGGAAAUUGACCUCAGGCUUUCUGAAUUCAACGAGAAAUUACGACAUAACACUGUAUCUCAAUAUCCUGUUUGGUAUCGUCAUGCAGCCAAAAAGACCGAUUUUUGGUAGAACUCUCACCGGCAAUUUAAAAUUUUGUCGGUACGACAACAUGAACCAAAGAUCGAAACGGAUAGCUCCAAGAAAGAAGAUAAGGUACGGGAGAAUCUUGAUCCAAAAAAGAUUACGCUUGGUGUUUGGUGGCAUUACGAAGGCCUAAUUCAUUGGAAAUAGCAAAAUGGUUAAUCGGCACGUUUACUUUCUUUAGCUGCCUAACUGUUUAAGAAAAAAGACCCAACAAACGAGGUAGCCACACACACGACAAAAAUCGCCAAGGAUACUCUCCUGGACUUCAAAUGGAAGGUAAAAUUACUUUUCGGAAUAAGAGUCAACGUAGUUGCAGAGCCGGCGCCGAAAUACCCUUGAAAGCGGUGAUACAUAGAUCAUUCCUCAUCAUAGCGAACGCAAUCAUUUUUCUGGAAGAUAAUUCAACUAGAUCAAAAGAUAGGACCAGACGUAUGCAAAAGUAGCCAAAAUAUGGAUUAAGCGAAUAAGCAUCAUGAAUAAAGUCUAGGAAAC